This 305-nucleotide ribosomal RNA is filed under the name uncultured bacterium. RNAcentral's name for it is "bacterial SSU rRNA". It matches the Rfam family "Bacterial small subunit ribosomal RNA", at positions 337 to 659 of the family's 1533-position model. The record is from RNAcentral.
ACCUACGGGGCGCAGCAGUGGGGAAUAUUGCACAAUGGGGGAAACCCUGAUGCAGCGACGCCGCGCGAGUGAGGAAGUAUUUCGGUAUGUAAAGCUCUAUCAGCAGGGAAGAAAAUGACGGUACCUGACUAAGAAGCCCCGGCUAACUACGUGCCAGCAGCCGCGGUAAUACGUAGGGGGCAAGCGUUAUCCGGAUUUACUGGGUGUAAAGGGAGCGUAGACGGAAUAGCAAGUCUGAAGUGAAAGCCCGCGGCUCAACUGCGGAACGGCUUUGGAAACUUUGUAACUGGAGUGUUGGAGAGGAA